GUGAUGUUAAUGGUUUACAAUUUGAUUGGAGAUUGGCAAUUUCUUGUUGGAGAAGUUCUGUCGUACGUGUACGUUAGAUGUGCUCAUCUUCAAAUUUGUAGACAUCUCGAGUACAGAAAACAUUGCAAGGUUCAUCUGACAAUAUUGGAUGGUUGCCACGCGCUCCUGGCAUGCCUGAUGCGGAGGAUGGUACAGCAAGAUUCUUGGAAUUGCUUACAGGAAUAAGGAAUGGGGAGCCACACAUUGCCUAGCUCAUUUGUGUAUCUGCUUAUUCCGGGCCUCUUUAGCAAUCACGGCCCCUUAUACUUUGUUGGAACAAAGAAAUUCUUUUCGAAGAUGGGUCUAGCUUGCCAUAUUGCAAAAAUUCACAGUGAGGCAUCUGUUGAGCACAAUGCAUGGGAACUCAAGCAAUACAUUGAGGAGCUUUACUGGGAAUCUGGUAAGCGUGUGAUGCUGCUGGGGUACAGCAAGGGCGGUGUUGAUGCUGCAGCUGCAUUGUCAAUCUACUGGUGUGAUUUGAAAGACAAAGUUGCUGGUUUAGCACUGGUACAGAGCCCCUACGGUGGCACACCCUCGGCUUCUGACAUUCUUCUCGAGGCCAGAUUGCGAACAAAGAAACCCGCAGGAUCAUGAAGCUUUUGAUAUGCAAGCUAAUUUAGGGUGACAUUCGGGCACUGGAGGAUCUUACUUGUGAGAAGCGAAAGGAGUUCAUCAUGAACCACAAGCUGCCAUAUGAACUACAUCCACAUGGCUACACUAUUAAUAUAAAAAAAAGGAAUAAAAAAAGACCCCUGUAAAACAUUUGAAGUAUCGCCGGACAGCUAUCCUAUUAAUUUUUUUUAAAAAGGACUCGCCUAGAGCUCAGCGUGUGUUUUGUGAAAAGCAUAUAGCUGCGUGGCCAUACUCUAUAAAGAGAAAUUUUCAAAUGUAUAGCCGCUCGGCUAUACUCCAUGAAUAUAAUUUUUCAAGAGUAUCGUAA
Non-coding RNA from Prunus mume (Japanese apricot), 979 nucleotides. Lineage: Eukaryota; Viridiplantae; Streptophyta; Magnoliopsida; Rosales; Rosaceae. The record is from RefSeq and is a predicted model, not a curated record.